UAACACAUGCAAGUCGAACGGAUCCUUCGGGAUUAGUGGCGGACGGGUGAGUAACACGUGGGAACGUGCCCUUUGGUUCGGAACAACUCAGGGAAACUUGAGCUAAUACCGGAUGUGCCCUUCGGGGGAAAGAUUUAUCGCCAUUGGAGCGGCCCGCGUCUGAUUAGCUAGUUGGUGAGGUAAAGGCUCACCAAGGCGACGAUCAGUAGCUGGUCUGAGAGGAUGAUCAGCCACAUUGGGACUGAGACACGGCCCAAACUCCUACGGGAGGCAGCAGUGGGGAAUCUUGCGCAAUGGGCGAAAGCCUGACGCAGCCAUGCCGCGUGAAUGAUGAAGGUCUUAGGAUUGUAAAAUUCUUUCACCGGGGACGAUAAUGACGGUACCCGGAGAAGAAGCCCCGGCUAACUUCGUGCCAGCAGCCGCGGUAAUACGAAGGGGGCUAGCGUUGCUCGGAAUUACUGGGCGUAAAGGGAGCGUAGGCGGACUGUUUAGUCAGAGGUGAAAGCCCAGGGCUCAACCUUGGAAUUGCCUUUGAUACUGGCAGUCUUGAGUACGGAAGAGGUAUGUGGAACUCCGAGUGUAGAGGUGAAAUUCGUAGAUAUUCGGAAGAACACCAGUGGCGAAGGCGACAUACUGGUCCGUUACUGACG
Molecule: ribosomal RNA, 650 nt
Filed under: Caulobacter sp.
Lineage: Bacteria; Pseudomonadati; Pseudomonadota; Alphaproteobacteria; Caulobacterales; Caulobacteraceae
Description: bacterial SSU rRNA
Rfam family: Bacterial small subunit ribosomal RNA
Source: RNAcentral